Long non-coding RNA from Nanorana parkeri, 534 nucleotides. RefSeq lists it as uncharacterized. NCBI's taxonomy places the organism in Eukaryota, Metazoa, Chordata, Amphibia, Anura, Dicroglossidae. The record is from RefSeq and is a predicted model, not a curated record. The transcript is spliced from 3 exons.
UUAACAGUAAAAAGAAAAAAAAAAAAUUCAAUGAAAAUCCACUGGAAUUCCAAGUUUUUGAUAACAUGCCAGUAAAUGGUUCCUCAGUUCAGGACCGAAGCACAAUGUAAAAUAAUAUACUAAAUAGCAUUUUUUGAAUACUUUUUUCUUUCUCUACUCUUUUUCUAACCAAAUACCAAGUUAUAUGGCUUUAUACGUUCAUAUUUACUGACGUGCUUCUAAUCUGUCUGGAGAAACAGGGUGCGAUUCUCGAAUACUGUCCGGAUUCACUACCACCAAGGGCUACAAACAAUCUCUCCCGAAGGGUCUCUCGCUUUGUUACUUGCUCUAGAAAAACGGUGAACCUUCCGAAUAACUCCUCGACGGGACCCCCUGGUUCUGUAGACUGAAAAGUCAGCUGGAAUAAUUGCUUUGCACAAAAUUUAUUCAUGGGAUACAGACUGGGAAAAUGAGAAUUUGUUCUGUUAACUGAAACUUUUUUUUUUUUUUGUCUCAUUUGUAAGAUAUUGUUUUUUUAUAUAAAAAAAAAAAGAA